RNAcentral lists this ribosomal RNA (253 nucleotides) under uncultured bacterium. Its description in RNAcentral is "partial 16S ribosomal RNA". It matches the Rfam family "Bacterial small subunit ribosomal RNA", at positions 524 to 776 of the family's 1533-position model. The record is from RNAcentral. RNAcentral also lists the same sequence under 2 other names.
UACAGAGGUCUCAAGCGUUGUUCGGAUUCAUUGGGCGUAAAGGGUGCGUAGGUGGCGAGGUAAGUCGGGCGUGAAAUCCCGGGGCUCAACCCCGGAACUGCGUUCGAUACUGCUUUGCUUGAGGACUGGAGAGGAGACUGGAAUUCACGGUGUAGCAGUGAAAUGCGUAGAUAUCGUGAGGAACACCGGUGGCGAAGGCGGGUCUCUAGACAGUUCCUGACACUGAGGCACGAAGGCCAGGGGAGCAAACGGG